This 254-nucleotide ribosomal RNA is filed under the name uncultured bacterium. RNAcentral's name for it is "partial 16S ribosomal RNA". It matches the Rfam family "Bacterial small subunit ribosomal RNA", at positions 524 to 776 of the family's 1533-position model. The record is from RNAcentral.
UACGUAGGGUGCGAGCGUUGUCCGGAAUUAUUGGGCGUAAAGGGCUCGUAGGCGGUCUGUUACGUCGGGAGUGAAAACUCGGGGCUCAACCCCCGAGCCUGCUUCCGAUACGGGCAGACUAGAGGUAUGCAGGGGAGAAUGGAAUUCCUGGUGUAGCGGUGAAAUGCGCAGAUAUCAGGAGGAACACCGGUGGCGAAGGCGGUUCUCUGGGCAUUACCUGACGCUGAGGAGCGAAAGUGUGGGGAGCGAACAGG